GUAAUGUAGGGUGGUUGGCCAAGCCAUAUAAAUAGGCCUUUCAAAUGUUUUCCUAAUUUAAUUAGAACACUAAAACUAAAACUAAAAAAAAAAACUCCUAAUUAUUUUAAUAUGGAAAUUCGGCCAAGGGUCUUUUAUUUGGGACUCUUGGAUAAACAUUUAAACUAAGAAAAAUAAAUAAAUAAAUAAAAAUAAAACUUUACAACUUGGGCCACUUUGACAAUUUGGCCUGAUUUUCAACUAAGUAUGGGUGGAUUUCUUGAUUGGGCUUGGAAUCUUCUUAUUGGGCCUUGCCCUCAAGAAUUUGGGCUUUUGUGACUCGUAUCAUUCCCCCCUUCCUCAAAAAGAUUCGUCCUCGAAUCUGAAAAAUCAAAUGAACUCGACUUUCCUCUAUCGAACGGGACUAAUGGCAAUUGAGUCCACUGAAAAGAAUAGCCAUGAGAUAGUAAAUAGCAACGGAAACAAGCUUGUAGUCCAAUCAUAAGCAUAACAGAACAGGUAUAACGCAUGUGAAUGGACAGAUUCAGAUUACCAUGCAAACAAUCUAAUUUACUCACCACUGCCUCGUCAAAUAUUUGAAACAAAGAUGGACAUGUUUUAAGGCAUUCAGUCGUCUCACAUUGUUCCCACAAACCAUGAAUAAAUUGCGAGUAAUAAAUCAAAUGGUAAACAUAAUCGUCACAAGUAGGUAUUUGAAAAGAUUUACAUGGUUCACAGAGUUGCAUAAUCAUACCAUGCAUUAAUCGACGGUCUAUAGAUUCACUCACACAUGCAUUAUCAAAAACAAGAAUCUUUUUAUCAACCAUCAAAACAGAUAGAUCAUCAAUAAAUAAAAUAGGAUAGUCAAGCACGUUUCGAUCUAAGUGUUCAUCAACACGAUCUUUAUCACUAUCCGAGGAGUACAAAAGUGUUUCAAAGGUUUCAAGCAUCUUACCUCGAUAAGGAAAAGAAUAAGGGUCGAUUUUACCUUUUUCAUUUAAAACAAACCUUCGUUCAUCGGGGGCAUAGUGUAGUCGAAUCUCCGUUGUUGAGUUAACCUUUGUCAAAUGGAACUCAAACUUCAUGUACAACCACAUAAACUGUUUAAGGCAAGAAUAUAAAUUGAAAACAAAUUUGGCAAAUUUCGUUACCUUAUUCUCCAAAACAGAUUUGGACAAAUUCAAGGAUUUUACACAAGGUAAAUCAAGAGAAUAACAAAUCACGCUUCUUUUCGUAAUGACUUUAUCAACCACAAUCGAAGAGUAACAAUUAAUCGGAUCAAAAUGAUGGGAUCUUUUAAGAACUAAGUCACCAAAAGUUUUAUCAAUAAUUUUCAAAUCUGCACUGGACUCGGUUUCUAAAAUUUCCUUACCUCGCUUACCUUCGGGAUCAUGUAGUGUGAUUUCAUCUUUGCUUAAGUUGAUCGUAUGAAAGCAUCUUUCAUUUGAGAGGUAUUGAAGUUGAAAGUUAUCUUUCGAUCUUUCGGGAACCUGAAAAGUAGCAACACAAGAAAAAUUCAUAUCUUGGUUAGUGGAAACAUUCCUCACUAGCCUUUCCUCGUCUUUUUCUUUUGUUUCUUUUUCUAACUCAUUUUCUCUUCUUUCUUCAACUUCUUUUUCAAUUUUCUUUUCUGUUUCACAUUCCUUUUCACUCUCAAUCUCUUUUUGCUCUUUUUCAUUCUCUUUUUCUUUUUCCUCACUUGUUUUAACAGAAUUUCUCAGUUUGAUUUGGUCCUCAUGGACUUGUUCCGGAGUGAGCGGCACUAAGGUAAGUUUCUUUCCUUGAUGCUUGAAAGAAUACCUAUUGGUACGACCAUCGUGAGUGACUUUUCGAUCCAGUUGCCAUGGUUCUCCUAGCAACAAAUGGCAGGCUUGAAUAGGCAUUACGUCGCACACAACUUCGUCUUGAUACUUACCGAUAGAAAAGGCAAUGUGCACUUGUUGAGUGACCCUAAAUUGGCCUUCGUUGCUAAGCCCUUGUAGUUGAUAAGGUUGUGGAUGCUUGGUAGUGGUUAAGCAAAGCUUUUCCACCAUCGUCGUGCUGGCUAUGUUCGAGCAACUUUCACCAUCAAUAAUAACUCUACAAAGCUUACCUUGUACAUGGCAGCGAGUAUGAAAGAGAUGUUCUCGUUGCUGCUCGCUCCUUGGUUUUGCCAAAGAUGAUUGUCCACGAUCAUGAAAAUCAUCAUCCAUUCUAGUGACACGUCGAGGGCCGCGCCUUUGGGGUUGGUUAUCCCUAUCUUCCUUAAUUGGAUCUCGAUAUUGAUGUUUUUGAUUCACUCGUACCUCAUUCAAAGUAGUAUUCAAUGCUUGAAGUGUAGCAUUUAUUUGUGUGAUUGCAGCAGUAUGUCCAUCUAACUGUUGUUGGACUUUCAUAAGUGCAUCAUUAUUAUCACCUUUAGACAUCUUCAAAACCUGUAAAAAAUAAACACUCAACACUCAAAAAUAAAAGUUAGCAAACCUCACCAUUAAUCACUCAAAAAGAAAAUUCAAAUUCUCAAUGAGGUCGAAUUCAAUCUUGUGAGUUCUUUAUCAGAGUUUAUAUCAACCAAUUAGAGAGUGUGAACCAAACCACCAAAGAAUCCUAAUUUGCACUAGGAUGCCAAAAACUGACGAGACACCAAUUGAUUCGUGUUGCACCGAGGAAGAAGUUGUGCACACGUUUAAAUCCUACUAACACAAGAAACAAGAAGGUGUUAGAUAACGUAAAGGAAGAAUAAAGGUAAACAAAUGAAAACCUACAGCUAAGAAUCAAUAAAAAUUGCUGAAAACAGAAAACCCGAAAAACUGCGGAGUAACUUGACAACUUCGUUCGAGGUGUUCCCGAUCUCCAAAAAUCACGAAAUUAAAUCUGGAGUGUCCUUAUAUAUUUAAUUUUUGAUCUGGAAAAUUUGGGCACCAAAUUCAACCCGCUGAAUAUUUUUUAAUUUUUUAUUGGAUUUCGUCUUUUUUCAAUUUUUUGACUUUUUCGACUUAUUUUUUUGCGGGAAAUAUUUUUGUAUAUUCAAUAACAGUGCCAAAAAUAUGUAUGUAAAAUUUCAGAUCAAUCAGAAAACGUUUACCCACUCAAAUGAAUUUUUUUCGAAAAUAUUUCUGGGUAAAACUGCUGUUUGUAAUUUAAAAAAUAGAGAUCAGUUUAGAAAUCAACCAAGAACACCCAAAACGCCCAAAAUCUGAUACCAAAUGAUACAGGGUUGCGCGCGGACCAAGAUCGAGUUGCCAAGUCACGAGAAACUCCUACGAAAACCCUAAACAAUUAGAUCUGAAACGAAACAGAAAAUUAAAAGAUUAGAUUUUUGAAUUUUCAGAUCUGAAAUAAAAUCCCCAAAACAGUAAAGAAUCAAAUAGAGAAUAGAAAUAAGUGUUAAUAAGGAAUCUUGAAACCCUAGAAGAGAUUGCGAUUCUGCCCAAUUGAACACCCAGAUAGUUUUCCCCAAAUUUCGGCAAUCUAAUUUCUCCCAAAAAGAGUAUGGAUGAAUCGGCAAGAACCCUAGAAAUUGGGGAUUUUUGGGCUAAUUCCUUAAGAUAGAAAAAGGCUGAAAACACAAUAAGAACAGAAAAUAAAUUAGAUAAAGAUUCGGCACAAGCAGAAAUAAAGAAAGAAUUGACAGUAAGAAAUUAAAAGAUAAGUCCUAAGAAGCCUUGAAAUCCCGAAAGAUCUCACAACUCCUUUCAAACGGCUCUAAUCUCCCCUCCAAAGAAUAUCAAUGGCAAGAAGAAGGUUGAAGAUGGCUCCCACAAUCAAAAAGAUUGUUAAAACAACUUCUAAAGAAAACUCAAGAGAAAAUCCUUGAAGAACUCAAAGAGAAUUUUCACUCAAAUCAAAUCUGAAAUUUUUAAUGUAAUUGUAAUGUAAUGUAGGGUGGUUGGCCAAGCCAUAUAAAUAGGCCUUUCAAAUGUUUUCCUAAUUUAAUUAGAACACUAAAACUAAAACUAAAAAAAAAAACUCCUAAUUAUUUUAAUAUGGAAAUUCGGCCAAGGGUCUUUUAUUUGGGACUCUUGGAUAAACAUUUAAACUAAGAAAAAUAAAUAAAUAAAUAAAAAUAAAACUUUACAACUUGGGCCACUUUGACAAUUUGGCCUGAUUUUCAACUAAGUAUGGGUGGAUUUCUUGAUUGGGCUUGGAAUCUUCUUAUUGGGCCUUGCCCUCAAGAAUUUGGGCUUUUGUGACUCGUAUCA
This 4157-nucleotide long non-coding RNA is filed under the name Gossypium barbadense (sea-island cotton). RNAcentral describes it as "long non-coding RNA (GBAR_LNC022916)". The record is from RNAcentral. Lineage: Eukaryota; Viridiplantae; Streptophyta; Magnoliopsida; Malvales; Malvaceae.